GAGUUUGAUCCUGGCUCAGAUUGAACGCUGGCGGCAUGCCCUACACAUGCAAGUCGAACGGCAGCACGGGAGCUUGCUCCUGGUGGCGAGUGGCGAACGGGUGAGUAAUGCAUCGGAACGUAUCCUGGAGUGGGGGAUAACGUAGCGAAAGUUACGCUAAUACCGCAUAUUCUGUGAGCAGGAAAGCGGGGGACCUUCGGGCCUCGCGCUCUUGGAGCGGCCGAUGUCGGAUUAGCUAGUUGGUGAGGUAAAGGCUCACCAUGGCGACGAUCCGUAGCAGGUCUGAGAGGAUGAUCUGCCACACUGGAACUGAGACACGGUCCAGACUCCUACGGGAGGCAGCAGUGGGGAAUUUUGGACAAUGGGGGCAACCCUGAUCCAGCCAUGCCGCGUGAGUGAAGAAGGCCU
Molecule: ribosomal RNA, 408 nt
Filed under: bacterium enrichment culture clone ALO1_GLFRUDD03GK7C4
Lineage: Bacteria
Description: bacterial SSU rRNA
Rfam family: Bacterial small subunit ribosomal RNA
Source: RNAcentral